UCGACCUCAAAUCAGGUAGGACUACCCGCUGAACUUAAGCAUAUCAAUAAGCGGAGGAAAAGAAACUAACAAGGAUUCCCCUAGUAACUGCGAGUGAAGCGGGAAAAGCUCAAAUUUAAAAUCUGGCGUGCCUUUGGGCCGUCCGAGUUGUAGUCUGGAGAAGUGUUUUCUGUGCUGGACCGUGUACAAGUCCCU
Molecule: ribosomal RNA, 195 nt
Filed under: Sarcodon imbricatus
Lineage: Eukaryota; Fungi; Basidiomycota; Agaricomycetes; Thelephorales; Thelephoraceae
Description: partial 28S ribosomal RNA
Rfam family: Eukaryotic large subunit ribosomal RNA
Source: RNAcentral